RNAcentral lists this ribosomal RNA (579 nucleotides) under uncultured bacterium. Its description in RNAcentral is "partial 16S ribosomal RNA". It matches the Rfam family "Bacterial small subunit ribosomal RNA", at positions 357 to 932 of the family's 1533-position model. The record is from RNAcentral.
UGGGAAUUUGGACAAUGGGCGAAAGCCUGAUCCAGCAAUGCCGCGUGUGUGAAGAAGGCCUUCGGGUUGUAAAGCACUUUUGUCCGGAAAGAAAUCCUUGGCUCUAAUACAGUCGGGGGAUGACGGUACCGGAAGAAUAAGCACCGGCUAACUACGUGCCAGCAGCCGCGGUAAUACGUAGGGUGCAAGCGUUAAUCGGAAUUACUGGGCGUAAAGCGUGCGCAGGCGGUUUGCUAAGACCGAUGUGAAAUCCCCGGGCUCAACCUGGGAACUGCAUUGGUGACUGGCAGGCUAGAGUAUGGCAGAGGGGGGUAGAAUUCCACGUGUAGCAGUGAAAUGCGUAGAGAUGUGGAGGAAUACCGAUGGCGAAGGCAGCCCCCUGGGCCAAUACUGACGCUCAUGCACGAAAGCGUGGGGAGCAAAACAGGAUUAGAUACCCUGGUAGUCCACGCCCUAAACGAUGUCAACUAGUUGUUGGGGAUUCAUUUCUUUUAGUAACGUAGCUAACGCGUGAAGUUGACCGCCUGGGGAGUACGGUCGCAAGAUUAAAACUCAAAUGAAUUGACGGGGUCAUAGCUG